GAUGAACGCUGGCGGCGUGCCUAAUACAUGCAAGUCGAGCGAACAGAUGAGGAGCUUGUUCCUCUGACGUUAGCGGCGGACGGGUGAGUAACACGUGGAUAACCUACCUAUAAGACUGGGAUAACUUCGGGAAACCGGAGCUAAUACCGGAUAAUAUAUUGAACCGCAUGGUUCAAUAGUGAAAGACGGUUUUGCUGUUACUUAUAGAUGGAUCCGCGCCGCAUUAGCUAGUUGGUAAGGUAACGGCUUACCAAGGCAACGAUGCGUAGCCGACCUGAGAGGGUGAUCGGCCACACUGGAACUGAGACACGGUCCAGACUCCUACGGGAGGCAGCAGUAGGGAAUCUUCCGCAAUGGGCGAAAGCCUGACGGAGCAACGCCGCGUGAGUGAUGAAGGUCUUCGGAUCGUAAAACUCUGUUAUUAGGGAAGAACAAAUGUGUAAGUAACUAUGCACGUCUUGACGGUACCUAAUCAGAAAGCCACGGCUAACUACGUG
This 497-nucleotide ribosomal RNA is filed under the name uncultured bacterium. RNAcentral's name for it is "partial 16S ribosomal RNA". It matches the Rfam family "Bacterial small subunit ribosomal RNA", at positions 28 to 507 of the family's 1533-position model. The record is from RNAcentral.